UUCACACUGAGACUGGCUCUAACACUUUGUCUCACUGAAUGCACAGCUGCCAAAAAGAUUCAUCUUUGUCUCCAGAUGCUAGACAAACACGCCAUUUGGAUUUGUUAAAACUCCUAGUUGAUUGCCUUUACCAAAGUAUAAAGGGAAGUUUCAUCAUGGAGAACAGCUUGAGCCAAGAAGCAGAGGAAAAUCCCUAUCUGUGUUUUCAGAGAACACCGUCUCUCAGACGUAAAUGGAGAAAGCGCUACGGAGGCCUGGACGGCAACAAACUGCUGGAGCCAAAUAAGGAGGAUGACAAAAGAGAGAAUGGAGAGAUGACAGAUGCCCUCACCAACAGGAACGCAGACCCUAUGAAGUUUACUGCGUCUAAGGCCCUGUGGAGCUCAGGAAUCAUCCGAACAGACCCGCGGAUUAAAGACUGCUGCGGAAAUUACAGGAAGCAGAUGGAACUGUUGACAGGAGCACUUUUCACAGGCCAGACUGAAUCUUGAUACCAAUAGUCAAAUUUAAAGCAUCUUAAAUAUAAAUACUAAACACCCCUAAUAUUUUAUGCUGCUAAUAUGCUUCAUUUGUGAACGUCUUGCAGGUGCGUGACUGGCUUUGUGUCUUUCAUCCUGAAGGCAUUGCAAGGAAGAUUUGUCAUUCCAGAUUUCUCUACUUUCACAGAGGAAACACAAAAGCUGUUUAUGAAAUGCAAACAACUCUCCUCUGUGAAGGUGCGUCAAAUCUGUUUCUGCUGUUGUUGUUGUUCUUCUUUUUAUAUAACAGUCUAUUGAAAAAGAUGUGCAAAGAAGCCUUAAAGUAGCACAGGUUAUUUUUUAAUUGUCUCUUGAAAAAUAUCAUAACGUGACUCAUAUCCUGUGUAUUUCUGACUAGGAGAAAGAAGACAUAAGAGAGGGUGGCAUGAAAUGGGGCAUUUCAGUUUGUACCGUGGAUGGACAGAGGUGCCACACAACAGUCCAAUUCAAUUGAUUUGAUAAGAGGUCUUCAGCAGGGGGUCUCGGCAUCCCUUAGGGGGUCCACAGUGGCACUGAGAGAGAGAGAUCAACACAAGAGAGAUAAAUCAGCAUAUUAGAAUGAUAAUUCAGC
Molecule: long non-coding RNA, 1089 nt
Filed under: Sinocyclocheilus grahami
Lineage: Eukaryota; Metazoa; Chordata; Actinopteri; Cypriniformes; Cyprinidae
Description: lncRNA (ENSSGRG00000050128.1)
Source: RNAcentral